GUGAUAAAAUCAGUGAGGAUGUACAAAAUAAAAGGAUUAAUACCCUAGAGGAGCCGCAAUUAGAUGUAACCAAUGGAAUAAAUACUUCAUUUGAUGAGGAUCGGAAGCGUCGAGUUGUUGAAACUGUAAUUCAAAAGAAUCAAGCAGUGGUUGGAACUGUAAGCCGACCUGCCCUAGAUGUAAGGAGAGACCAAUCUUUUUGCAAUGUCGAAUUGCGCGUCUAUAAAGAUGAACCAAUAAGUGAGCCUAGGCCAAUUCCAGUCAAGAAAGUGGGAAGUAAGAGGGUGCAAAAAUUGGUUGCUGAGGGUACUGAGGUGAAGACCAACAAGCUGAGACGGUUGACACGGUCAACUUUGAACUUUAAGGUAGAGCCUGUGGAGGUCAAAGUUAAUGGAUUAGAAGCUAUUGACAGUGAAAUGUUUUCAAAAGUAGAUGUGGAGAUGAUAGCUGAAGGAAGCGCGUUGACCCCACCAAAGAAGAAUUUAGAAUUGAAA
Molecule: unclassified non-coding RNA, 494 nt
Filed under: Hevea brasiliensis (rubber tree)
Lineage: Eukaryota; Viridiplantae; Streptophyta; Magnoliopsida; Malpighiales; Euphorbiaceae
Source: RNAcentral